This 465-nucleotide ribosomal RNA is filed under the name uncultured bacterium. RNAcentral describes it as "partial 16S ribosomal RNA". It matches the Rfam family "Bacterial small subunit ribosomal RNA", at positions 338 to 795 of the family's 1533-position model. The record is from RNAcentral.
CCUACGGGUGGCAGCAGUGGGGAAUAUUGCGCAAUGGGCGAAAGCCUGACGCAGCGACGCCGCGUGAGGGAUGAAGGUCUUCGGAUUGUAAACCUCUGUUAGCAGGGAAGAACGGUCACUGUGCUAAUCAGCAGUGAAUUGACGGUACCUGCAAAGGAAGCACCGGCAAACUCCGUGCCAGCCGCCGCGGUAAUACGGAGGGUGCGAGCGUUAAUCGGAAUUACUGGGCGUAAAGCGCUCGUAGGCGGUAUGUCAAGUCAAGGGUGAAAUCCCCGCGCUCAACGUGGGAACUGCCUUUGAAACGGGCAAACUGGAGUGUGUGAGAGGAUAGUGGAAUUCCAGGUGUAGGAGUGAAAUCCGUAGAUAUCUGGAGGAACAUCAGUGGCGAAGGCGACUAUCUGGCACAUAACUGACGCUGAGGAGCGAAAGCGUGGGUAGCAAACAGGAUUAGAUACCCUUGUAGUC